Non-coding RNA from Tenacibaculum dicentrarchi, 91 nucleotides. NCBI's taxonomy places the organism in Bacteria, Pseudomonadati, Bacteroidota, Flavobacteriia, Flavobacteriales, Flavobacteriaceae. The record is from Rfam.
UCCUAGCCCCGAUUGUAGCGGUUGUUUGAGCUCUUUUUUAUUUUUUCUUUUCAAAAAAUAAAAAAAGCGAGUGCGGAAAGCGGGAGAUUGC